This 94-nucleotide non-coding RNA is filed under the name Caloramator mitchellensis. RNAcentral's name for it is "Bacterial small subunit ribosomal RNA". It matches the Rfam family "Bacterial small subunit ribosomal RNA", at positions 1 to 91 of the family's 1533-position model. Lineage: Bacteria; Bacillati; Bacillota; Clostridia; Eubacteriales; Clostridiaceae. The record is from Rfam by way of RNAcentral.
AAACAUAAGAGUUUGAUCCUGGCUCAGGACGAACGCUGGCGGCGUGCCUAACACAUGCAAGUCGAGCGGAGAUAUCAAGGAGCAAUCUGAGGUA